This is a long non-coding RNA of Zea mays, 485 nucleotides long. RefSeq lists it as uncharacterized. The record is from RefSeq and is a predicted model, not a curated record. Lineage: Eukaryota; Viridiplantae; Streptophyta; Magnoliopsida; Poales; Poaceae. The transcript has 2 exons.
CAGGUUAACGUUCCGAUACAAGGUGUCAGCAUCUCAGACAGGAGCAAUGAGCAGACAACGAGAACAAGCCACGACAUGCGAGAGUCCAUCGUCCAAACGCCAAGGUUACUGAGCCAAUAUGGGCUAAGUAGUGGGUCAGCUAUCUAUGGGUCGCUUGAUGUUCGAGUAGUACUAUAUAAAAGACAAACACUUGUGUAAUAGGGGCAUGAACAAUUUAGCUAUCAAAUAUCAGACAAACUCGUCUUCCUCCCAGCUAUUCCCUUCUCCAAGUCUUAUUCUCCUCUGAGCUCUUCCUCAUCGAUCCCCCUUAUCAGGUGUCGCUAACACAAGGACCCUAGAUUGUUUUUGUGUGUGUGUGUGCGUUACAAAAAGACUUGCUACCAGCUCGAACCUAGCAGCAGCUUCGAGAACCUGUUUGUUUACUACCACUAGUACUAUUGUAUACUGAUUCCAGUUAAUUAAGCACCGUACCGUGUGUCGAGGAA